RNAcentral lists this ribosomal RNA (505 nucleotides) under uncultured bacterium. Its description in RNAcentral is "partial 16S ribosomal RNA". It matches the Rfam family "Bacterial small subunit ribosomal RNA", at positions 28 to 507 of the family's 1533-position model. The record is from RNAcentral.
GACGAACGCUGGCGGCGUGCCUAAUACAUGCAAGUAGAACGCACAGUUUAUACCGUAGCUUGCUACACCAUAGACUGUGAGUUGCGAACGGGUGAGUAACGCGUAGGUAACCUGCCUGGUAGCGGGGGAUAACUAUUGGAAACGAUAGCUAAUACCGCAUAAUACUAAUUAUUGCAUGAUAAUUAAUUGAAAGGUGCAAUUGCACCACUACCAGAUGGACCUGCGUUGUAUUAGCUAGUAGGUGAGGUAACGGCUCACCUAGGCGACGAUACAUAGCCGACCCGAGAGGGUGAUCGGCCACACUGGGACUGAGACACGGCCCAGACUCCUACGGGAGGCAGCAGUAGGGAAUCUUCGGCAAUGGACGAAAGUCUGACCGAGCAACGCCGCGUGAGUGAAGAAGGUUUUCGGAUCGUAAAGCUCUGUUGUAAGAGAAGAACGGGUGUGAGAGUGGAAAGUUCACACUGUGACGGUAUCUUACCAGAAAGGGACGGCUAACUACGUG